AGAGAGAGAGUUCAAGAGUACGUGAAACCGCAUAGGGGUUAAGCCCGAUGAACCUGAAUAUCUGAAAUGAGAAAUUCAAUACUAUUUUAGUAAUUUAUUUAAAUAAUAAAUAAACGAUGGUAUGCACUUUUCUCAUAGUAGGACAUUGCGAUCCAUUAGUAUGUCUUUUUAUAGACGGUUUAUUAAACGGCCCACAUGGUUAGUUUAUUCUAUCUGUGACACUAGUUGUCAUAUGAAUAAUACCAUUGUGGUGACCUAAUAAACAGCUGAUGGAGCUUAUAAAUCAUGCAUCCAUGCAUAUGUAUCACGGUUUAUAUAUUUUUUAAUAUAUGAAUGCAGUGAUAGCAUGUAUUUGAUUAGCAAUGCGAUAGAUUUGGGAUACCUUCGGGACCCGUCUUGAAACACGGACCAAGAAGUCUAACAUGUGUGUAAGUCAUUGGGUAUAUUGUUGAAACCUAAAGGCGAAAUUAAAAUAACUAUUUUAUGGGAUUACAAGCAAUUUUUAAUGAUAUUGCUUCUCCAUCCCGGGGCGUUCUAUACGAACAUGGUUUAAGAAAUUGAACCCUCUGUUCAAGAGCGUACCUUGAACAUACAUGCUGUGACCCGAAAGAUGG
This 614-nucleotide ribosomal RNA is filed under the name Chiletricha spinulosa. RNAcentral describes it as "eukaryotic LSU rRNA". It matches the Rfam family "Eukaryotic large subunit ribosomal RNA", at positions 378 to 826 of the family's 3401-position model. The record is from RNAcentral. Lineage: Eukaryota; Metazoa; Arthropoda; Insecta; Diptera; Rangomaramidae.